AAUACAAAACUUGGUAUCGGAGCAAGAAAUGAUUGUGCAAAAAGCAAAUACUAUGUAGACUCUAGCAGUAAGUAUCAAAUCAUCGCUGCUGAGUAUCUUGGAGAAGGAACUGUCGUAGAACCGCCAUGGUUACAGUACAUGAGGGAAUGGGGUCCAACCAUUGAGUACAAAUCGGGUUAUGAAGUGGACGAGAUAAUCAAACACCUCCCGUCUUUUUUCAGGUUUUCAGUAGAGACUCUCGUCGAGCUAUUUCCAAAUGAACUUUAUGGUGAAGCAGGGCCAACAGGACCUAAGGAGAAGAACAACUGGUUCGGGGAUGAAAGGUGGU
This 328-nucleotide unclassified non-coding RNA is filed under the name Hevea brasiliensis (rubber tree). The record is from RNAcentral. Lineage: Eukaryota; Viridiplantae; Streptophyta; Magnoliopsida; Malpighiales; Euphorbiaceae.